GACGAACGCUGGCGGCGUGCCUAAUACAUGCAAGUCGAGCGGACUGAAUGGGAGCUUGCUCUUGUUCGGUCAGCGGCGGACGGGUGAGUAACACGUGGGCAACCUGCCCGCAAGACCGGGAUAACUCCGGGAAACCGGAGCUAAUACCGGAUAACACCGAAGACCGCGUGGUCUUUGGUUGAAAGGCGGCGCAAGCUGCCACUUGCGGAUGUGCCCGCGGCGCAUUGGCUAGAUGGUGAGGUAACGGCUCACCAAGGCGACGAUGCGUAGCCGGCCUGAGGGGGUGACCGGCCACACUGGGACUGAGACACGGCCCAGAGUCCUACGGGAGGCAGCAGUAGGGAAUCUUCCGCAAUGGGCGAAAGCCUGACGGAGCGACGCCGCGUGAGCGAAGAAGGCCUUCGGGUCGGAAAGCUCUGUUGUGGGGGACGAAGGAGCGCCGUUUGAAGAAGGCGGGGCGGUGACGGUACCUCACGAGGAAGCCCCGGCUAACUACGUG
Molecule: ribosomal RNA, 499 nt
Filed under: uncultured bacterium
Lineage: Bacteria
Description: partial 16S ribosomal RNA
Rfam family: Bacterial small subunit ribosomal RNA
Source: RNAcentral